Non-coding RNA from Acanthosepion pharaonis, 108 nucleotides. The record is from the annotation of a GenBank genome assembly. Lineage: Eukaryota; Metazoa; Mollusca; Cephalopoda; Sepiida; Sepiidae.
UAUGACCAUAUCACAUUGAAACACCGGUUCUCAUAUGAUCACCAAAGUUAAGCAAUGUCAAGCUUGGUCAGUAUCUAGAUGGAUGACUGCUUGGGAAUAUCAGGUGCU